UAUGCCCAAUGUUAACAUGGGCUAGUGUCGGCUCAUAUACCCAUUUACCUAACACCAUGUACCUACCUAUAACAUAACUUUUGACUUGCAAUUUUUUCAUAAUACACUGUUGUAAUAUACUUAGACAGAAACUAUACAACAUACAACGACACUGAGAUUAAUGCACUUAUUGGAAAAUGUUUUUGAAUAUUAUUUCUAAUUGCUAAUAGGUAACUUAUUACAAACACUUUAAAGUGGACAAUUAAAUAUAUCACAGUCCCAUCAUUUAGGGAUAAUUUAGCAAGUUAUGAACAAAUAAAGUAAAUUAAAAGAAACUACGAAUAGGUCUGUACAUAAGUUAUAAAUAUAGGCAUAAACAUAAAUGGACAAUAGUGACUGUAUACAGGGUGUUAGUUUCUUAUGUUAAUAAAAUAAGAAUGAGACUAAAAAAAGGGUAAGUAAGUACAUACCUGCUAUAAAAUAUCUUGGCUUGGCCAUAAGAAGUUAAAAAAAUAAUACAUAUCCAUAAUAGACAGAUGUAUUAACACCUUGUUUACGUUUGAAUAUGUAUAUUUUGGGCAUUCUAAUACAA
Molecule: long non-coding RNA, 571 nt
Organism: Ostrinia furnacalis (Asian corn borer)
Lineage: Eukaryota; Metazoa; Arthropoda; Insecta; Lepidoptera; Crambidae
Exons: 2
Source: RefSeq, a predicted model, not a curated record